GACGAACGCUGGCGGCGUGCUUAACACAUGCAAGUCGAACGGAAAGGCCUCUUUCGGGGGGUACUCGAGUGGCGAACGGGUGAGUAACACGUGAGUAACCUGCCCUUGACUUUGGGAUAACUUCAGGAAACUGGGGCUAAUACCGGAUAGGAGCUCCUGCUGCAUGGUGGGGGUUGGAAAGUUUCGGCGGUUGGGGAUGGACUCGCGGCUUAUCAGCUUGUUGGUGGGGUAGUGGCUUACCAAGGCUUUGACGGGUAGCCGGCCUGAGAGGGUGACCGGCCACAUUGGGACUGAGAUACGGCCCAGACUCCUACGGGAGGCAGCAGUGGGGAAUAUUGCACAAUGGGUGGAAGCCUGAUGCAGCAACGCCGUGUGCGGGGUGACGGCCUUCGGGUUGUAAACCGCUUUCGCUCAUGACGAAGCUUUGUGUGACGGUAGUGGGUAAAGAAGCACCGGCUAACUACGU
This 466-nucleotide ribosomal RNA is filed under the name uncultured bacterium. RNAcentral's name for it is "partial 16S ribosomal RNA". It matches the Rfam family "Bacterial small subunit ribosomal RNA", at positions 28 to 506 of the family's 1533-position model. The record is from RNAcentral.